Molecule: long non-coding RNA, 1658 nt
Filed under: Homo sapiens (human)
Lineage: Eukaryota; Metazoa; Chordata; Mammalia; Primates; Hominidae
Description: HSALNT0276375
Source: RNAcentral
GAAGGAAGCUGGGGAAGAAUCCUCUCCAUUGUUAAGUGACGGGGAUAGAAGCUGUCCUGCACAGGAAGUCACGAGGGGGGCGUAUCCCACGAGGAAGGCAGGAGGGGGCGUGCCCCUCACCGGAAAUUAGCAGAGGGGCGUGUCCCACACCGGAAGUCAGAAAGCGGAGCCUUUCUUACACCGGAAGUCAAUGAAGCGGGUCUUUCCUACGCUAAAAACCACUGAGUGGAGUAUUUAGUACACAGGAAGUCGGCCAGAGAAACAUUUCUCAUAUUUGAAGGCCGGAAAGAGGGACAUUUCUGACACCGGAAGUCAGUGAGAGGACUCUUUCCCACACAGGAAGUCAGCUAGAGAGCCGUCUCCCCUCUCUGGAGCCGAGAGAGGCCGGUUUCCCCCACCGUAGCCCACCUGGGAGGAAUUUUCCAGAGAUCACUGUCUGAUGACCCUGUCUUGGAAUUGGAGCCAUGCAAGUUACACUGACCACGUUUGGGUUGGGAUAUUGAGGAGGUUAUGGUUAAAAGCAUACGAUGGGAGAUCAUAUUGUACUUGCGAGUGAGACCCGGCUGGAGGAAUGUUUUAAUUCUUCGGAAAUACCAAGUGGUCUCUACAGAACACUGAAGAUUCUGCUCUCAGGGUGUUGAUUGACGUCUGGAAGGCAGAGACUCGUGGAUUAGCAAGCAUGUGUAAGAAAGUGCUCUGGAUGCCACAGGGUGGUAAUUUGUGCAUGGAAAAUGGCUGGGGUGAAGAGGAGACUAGGCUACUCGGGAGGCUGAGGCAUGAGAAUCGCUUGAACCCGGGAGAUGGAGGUUGCACUGAGCCGAGACUCCAGCCUGGGCGACAGAGUGAGACCUCGUCUCAAAAAAAAAAAAAAAGAAAGAAAGAAAGAAAAGGAAAGGAAAGAAAGAAAGAAAGAAAAGACCUUGAAGAAGGAGAGGGAGAGACACAGUCUUGAAACAGAAAGGCGCCGUGGGACUGGGGCAUUGAAGGAUAGGAAGAGGAUCCAAAAUGAGCUCAGAGUUCCGCGCAGCACCCAGAUCAGGAAGACCUUACAGGGUUUCCAGCAUGGAGCGACAGGAUUAACCACGCACUGUGAAAAGAUUGUUAAAUGACUAAGUCCGUGUGUAAGCUACAGGCAACCCGUGUCUCUUUAUUCUGAGACUAAUCAUUCUUAUCCUUCCUGCUUGUCACUUUAAUCUUUCCAACACACAUUCACCUCCUGACGUGGACUGUUGGCUUUCAUCUGCCUAGAGAGCAUUCCCAUUGCCAUUCUCCUAGAAAUAGACCGGGCUCACCUUGGCUGCAGAAAGUGGUUAGUUACGUGGUCCAGGGCUGACCAAUCACAGCAUCCAAUACCUCUGAUGACAGUGAUUGGUCCGUGAGGCAAGCACAUGACCCAAGCAGAGCCAAUGAGAGCCUUAUCCGUGAGAUGGGUAUUUGAACCUGGCAGCACAAACUCUUUUUCCAUUGAGGUUUGUAGGGAGGGUACCAGACACAUUAGAGAAGGUGUGUCUGGAGUAGGAGACAGUUAAGGCCACUGUGAUGAGUUGAGGAAAGAACAGAUAAAGGGAGAAACAUGAAAACUUUUCCUUUGAAUGUUUGAACUAUUCGGUAUCCAAACUAAUGUUGAAAACCAAUUAAUCUCUCCUUUCCCCAUUAAG